GGAUUUUCUUUAACAUUUGCAACGAUAACUUCAAUUGCAAUUGGAAUCCAAAAAGAAUAAAGAAGAACUAUGAAAUUGAAAGCUUGGAUCGAAUUCGAAUCCAAGUUAAACAAGAACAAAAAUUGUUUUAAGGACUAAAUUGAAAGAAAAUGAAAAUUAAAGUAAAAACCUAAAUUUAACUAAGUGGCUCACUUGGCCAAGGCUCCCAAAAUGAGGCUAAACAUGUCUAUUUAUAGAGUUUAUGCUCUGACCAAAUUAGAGUUGCUUGACAAUCCAAAAACCUAAUUACAUUUUAUUAUGUGGACUAAACUACCUAUAAUUAAAAUUUCUAAUCGUCACUCAAUGGGCUUAGAUGUCUACAUAUAGUUUGAAGAUCAUCUCUUAGCUUCAAAAAUCACUUUGAAUCACUUGAUUUCGAGUUCGGGAGCUCAAGUUAUGACCAUUUUAGUGAAGAUUGCGCGAGCAAAAUUUCUGGACGAGAUUAUGACGAAAAUUACGAAUUUCGAGCUUUUAAUUCGAGUUUAAAUCAUUUUUGGUUCAGUUUUUAGGCUUAAUUUUUAUUAUAUAUGGGCCCAAUAUUGUAUUUUUUUAGGUUUUAUUAUUUUUAUUAUUUAUUUAUUCUGAAUUUUGGAUAUUAUUUAAGUAUUUCAAGUUGUUUAGGAGUUUUUGUUUCAUAGUCAAACAAGAAAAAUUAAUUUAAAACUAUUUAUUGUUUUAAUUAAUUAGAAUUUUAGUAUACUUUAGAGUUUUAUUUGGAUGUACUUAGCUAACCUAUAUAAAGACUUCUUCAUUGUUCAUUAAGUAGACACCUUUUUUUUUAUUAAUAAAGUUUUUAACUCUAUGAGUUAAUUUCUUUGUGCAAUAUUUUCUUCUCGAUUUUCUUUAAGGGGUAAUGGGAAUUCAUUAUUCACCCUUCAAUUUGCCAAGUAUUAUUUCUUGGAAGGCUGAUUAGAACCAUUAAUUGAGUUUGUUGGGAUUUAUAUCUCAAAGGGUUCAAUGAGACAUUUAUCAUUUUUAUCCAUCAUAUCCAUCGAUUUAUCAUUCCAUCUUCCACUUUGUCUUUUUAAUUUAUAUUUCUUAUUUAUUUAUAAUUUUUUAUUUAUUCUUUGUUCUCAAAUUUCUUAUGGUUUAAUUUAUUAAUUUGGGAAAAAAAAUUAGAUGUUGGCGUGAUCCUUGGACUCCAAACGUGGGACCUUUGGUUUGCUUAAUUCCCGGACAUUCUAAUAUGGAUAUGGAUUGCAUGCUAAGUGAUAUGGUCUCAGGGAAUGGUGAGUGGAAUAUUGACCUCUUUUAUCUUUGGCUACCAGAAGACAUAAUCACAAGAAUUGCUGGGAUUCCGCCUGCCCACUCGAUUGCAGGAGUUGAGAGGAUUAUAUGGGGGAUAACUUGGCAAGUUGCUUCUCAAACAAGAAUCCUUACAGGAAAUUACGGGAAGGAACAUUGAAUUAGAAAGAAUCAAGAUGGCACAUCCCCUGAAAAUUUCAAGGACCCCAACGGGUCAGGUUCUUCACCUGGCUUGUUCUUAAACCACUGAUAGCAUAGAACUAAAUUGUUACAUACCAUAUUUUUGUAAAAUAAAAUGUAAUUAUACUUCAAAUUUUAUAAUACGAUCAUUAUGGGUUAAUUUAUUAAUUUGUGUAUUUUAAAAUUAACUUUUUUUUUAUAUAUAUGUUAAUUUAUAAUUAGUUUCCAUCAUAUAUAUAUACGUUUUUAUUUUUAAUUAGUAAAAUUAUUAGUAAAAAUUUGCAUAAAUGAUUGAUAGCUAUUAACAAAUUUAAUAUUUUAAAGAUAAAUAAUUAUAAAUUAAUAAUAUAUUUUGUUUAACAUAUAGAAAAUGAUAAUAUUUUGUAAUCAAAUAAUAAUAAAGAGGUAAACACUCCAUAACUUAGUAAUAAAUAAUUUAUAACACAGGUAAAAAAUAUUAUGGACAAAAAAAUUAAACAAUAAAUAUAAUAUAAAACUAAAUCGUUAAUAAGAAUAUAGUAAUAAACUUUAUCAUUAUAAUUAUAAAAAUCUAUAUAAUUUAUUGAUUAAGUAGAAUGUGUAUAUAUUUUUAUGAAUAUUACCUAAUUGAAAAUGAAUUCUAACUUAAUGUCUAAUUGUAAAUACAUUAUUUUAAUUAAUAAAAUAUUAUAAAUUCCACAUUUUUGAAUAAUUCACGUAGAUAAAAUUUUUAAAAUAAAGAAAUAUUAAAUAUGUUUUUCUAUUAAUAUUAAAUUUUAAUUGUUAUGCCAUGUUUUAUUUAUAUUUUGGAUUUAAAUGUAUAGUUUUAUAUUAAUAUUAUAUAAUAAAAAUCAUUUUAAUUAUAUUUCAAUAAAAAAUAUUGAAUUAAAUUACAUACUAUAAUUUGAUAAUAUCUAGUACCACGGGAGAAUAAAACAAAUACAUACAUAGAGAGAGAGAGAGAGAGAGAGAUCUCACCAGAAAUGGGGCACAAGGCAUCACGCCGUUUUAAAGGUGGUUUUGGAAGACUUAAGGCUUAAAAUGGAUUUGAAGGUGUUGAAUUCCAUGCAAAGCCUUUGUCAAAUCAAUAGCCUCUUGCUUCAAACCUCAUUUUCGCUCUCAGAUCGACCUUAGACUUUACCACCUUAUUCUAUAGGAACUUCAUUUCUUUCUUUCUCCUUUGUUUUUCUAUAAUGUUUGCUAAAGCUAUCUCAAUGCUGUAAUUUUUUCUACACAUUGAAACUAAUCUAUAUAUGUAAAGUCAACAGGUUUAUCCACGAAUUGGAGAAAAAAGACAACUAGUUUGACAAGUAAAUUAAGAAUCACACACAACCUUAUAUCUAUAUAUGCACAAAUAGAAAGUGUUUCAAAGCUUUCUAGUUGGAUUUUCCUAUAGGAGAAGCAAAGUAGCAAUCAGCAAUGUCAAGUCAAGCUAAGAGUAAUUUGGGUUUUAUAUAUGUAUGGGUAUGCUUCAAGUUCAACCCUUGCUAACUUGUAAAUGAGGAAGAUGCAUGAGCUUCAUACCUUCAAAUGGCUUUAACCAUGGCGGAGAACCCAUCAUACAAAUGUUAAAGUGAUGGGUCACAACCAUUCUAAAAUUGGAUAGUAGGAUGGUCCCUUUGUUUGGAUGUCUAGGUUAUAGACUUAUAGUUUGAUUUGCACGAUAUUAUUAAUCAAAAUCUGCCUAAAGCUUAAUCAAAUCCUGUUUACAGUCAUCAGAUUUGAACAACCAUGUAUCCUCAAUCAAAAGACUAGGACUUCAAAUCUAAAAUAAUUCAUUUCAUGAAUGCGCCAUAAGCUAUUAAUCUUUAUAGAAUUCACUUAAGAUGCCGAAAGGCAAAAGCAUGAACAAAAGACCUCAAGUUGAAGUAUACUGAAACCUCGUGGUUCCUUCCCUGAUUCAGAUGGUAAAUGGUAACAUCAUGAAAGGUGAGUACUUGAACCAAUCAUAUGGUAGUUUGACAUGUUUCCUUUAGUUGCUAACUUGCACUGAACCUUACAGUCAUCCAGCGAAGCAACCGUAGUAGCUAACGGAAAUCACAAGGUUAUACACACCUACCAAUACCACGCAUGCCUAUUCAAAGUUCAAACCUAAAAAGAAAAAGUACCUAGAUCAUAUAUGCAGGUUCCCAUAGGAAUAUGUGAAGAUCAAAAGGGUAACUAAGCAAAGAUGGAAUUGGAAUAGAUAUAUGGGUUCAGUAUGAGUAUGUUAUUUCAACUAUGUGUUGAUUAAACCCUGUUAUAAAGAUGUGUUCAAGGUCGAACAGACAACGAAAGAAAGGAUUAACCCGCAAAAGGCUGCUCACUUGACAAGCAUGGCAUGGAAAUCACUCACCAAUUAGUGAUUGAAAAAAAUCUCCAAUUUGCUAGUUAACUCCAGGAAUCUCUCUCUGCAUAAAACAGUGGAAGAAAAAAAUUGGAAAGAAAAGAAAAGGAAAAUAAGGAAGCAUGAAGCUGUGCAACUGCACCGAAAGGGAGUUUGAUAUGAUGUGUUAGAGCGUAAAGGUGAGCUUGAUUUAUAGAAAUGAAC
This 3973-nucleotide long non-coding RNA is filed under the name Gossypium raimondii (Peruvian cotton). Its description in RNAcentral is "long non-coding RNA (GRAI_LNC001531)". The record is from RNAcentral. Lineage: Eukaryota; Viridiplantae; Streptophyta; Magnoliopsida; Malvales; Malvaceae.